AAUCCAUAGGUUAAUGAGGCGAACCGGGGGAACUGAAACAUCUAAGUACCCCGAGGAAAAGAAAUCAACCGAGAUUCCCCCAGUAGCGGCGAGCGAACGGGGAGGAGCCCAGAGCCUGAAUCAGCAUAUGUGUUAGUGGAAGCGUCUGGAAAGGCGCGCGAUACAGGGUGACAGCCCCGUACACAAAAGCGCAUGUGCUGUGAGCUCGAUGAGUAGGGCGGGACACGUGGUAUCCUGUCUGAAUAUGGGGGGACCAUCCUCCAAGGCUAAAUACUCCUGACUGACCGAUAGUGAACCAGUACCGUGAGGGAAAGGCGAAAAGAACCCCGGCGAGGGGAGUGAAACAGAACCUGAAACCGUGUACGUACAAGCAGUGGGAGCACAGGUUUACCUGUGUGACUGCGUACCUUUUGUAUAAUGGGUCAGCGACUUAUAUUCUGUAGCAAGGUUAACCGAAUAGGGGAGCCGUAGGGAAACCGAGUCUUAACCGGGCGUUAAGUUGCAGGGUAUAGACCCGAAACCCGGUGAUCUAGCCAUGGGCAGGUUGAAGGUUGGGUAACACUAACUGGAGGACCGAACCGACUAAUGUUGAAAAAUUAGCGGAUGACCUGUGGCUGGGGGUGAAAGGCCAAUCAAACCGGGAGAUAGCUGGUUCUCCCCGAAAGCUAUUUAGGUAGCGCCUCGUGAAUUCAUCUCCGGGGGUAGAGCACUGUUUCGGCCAGGGGGCCAUCCCGGCUUACCAACCCGAUGCAAACUGCGAAUACCGGAGAAUGUUAUCACGGGAGACACACGGCGGGUGCUAACGUCCGUCGUGAAGAGGGAAACAACCCAGACCGCCAGCUAAGGUCCCAAAGUCAUGGUUAAGUGGGAAACGAUGUGGGAAGGCCCAGACAGCCAGGAUGUUGGCUUAGAAGCAGCCAUCAUUUAAAGAAAGCGUAAUAGCUCACUGGUCGAGUCGGCCUGCGCGGAAGAUGUAACGGGGCUAAACCAUGCACCGAAGCUGCGGCAGCGAACGUAUCACUUAAAGCGAUUCAGCGGAUGACGAUUGACGGAGCGAAGCGACGUCAAAGCGUUUUACAAAGUCGAGUCGGUUUAAGGAUACGUUCGUUGGGUAGGGGAGCGUUCUGUAAGCCUGUGAAGGUGUGUCGUGAGGCAUGCUGGAGGUAUCAGAAGUGCGAAUGCUGACAUAAGUAACGAUAAUGCGGGUGAAAAACCCGCACGCCGGAAGACCAAGGGUUCCUGUCCAACGUUAAUCGGGGCAGGGUGAGUCGACCCCUAAGGCGAGGCCGAAAGGCGUAGUCGAUGGGAAACGGGUUAAUAUUCCCGUACCUGGUGUUACUGCGAAGGGGGGACGGAGAAGGCUAUGUUGGCCGGGCGACGGUUGUCCCGGUUUAAGCGUGCAGGUGUGUGUUCCAGGAAAAUCCGGUUCACUUUAACACUGAGGCGUGACGACGAGGCACUACGGUGCUGAAGCAACAAAUGCCCUGCUUCCAGGAAAAGCCUCUAAGCCUCAGGUAACAUCAGAUCGUACCCGAAACCGACACAGGUGGUCAGGUAGAGAAUACCAAGGCGCUUGAGAGAACCCGGGUGAAGGAACUAGGCAAAAUGGUGCCGUAACUUCGGGAGAAGGCACGCUGACACGUAGGUGAAGCGGUUUACCCGUGGAGCUGAAGUCAGUCGAAGAUACCAGCUGGCUGCAACUGUUUAUUAAAAACACAGCACUGUGCAAACACGAAAGUGGACGUAUACGGUGUGACGCCUGCCCGGUGCCGGAAGGUUAAUUGAUGGGGUCAGCGCAAGCGAAGCUCCUGAUCGAAGCCCCGGUAAACGGCGGCCGUAACUAUAACGGUCCUAAGGUAGCGAAAUUCCUUGUCGGGUAAGUUCCGACCUGCACGAAUGGCGUAAUGAUGGCCAGGCUGUCUCCACCCGGGACUCAGUGAAAUUGAACUCGCUGUGAAGAUGCAGUGUACCCGCGGCAAGACGGAAAGACCCCGUGAACCUUUACUAUAGCUUGACACUGAACACUGGUCCUUGAUGUGCAGGAUAGGUGGGAGGCUUUGAAGUGUGGACGCCAGUCUGCAUGGAGCCGUCCUUGAAAUACCACCCUUUAAUGGCUGGUGUUCUAACGUAGACCCGUGAACCGGGUUGCGGACAGUGUCUGGUGGGUAGUUUGACUGGGGCGGUCUCCUCCUAAAGCGUAACGGAGGAGCACGAAGGUUGGCUAAUCCUGGUCGGACAUCAGGAGGUUAGUGCAAUGGCAUAAGCCAGCUUGACUGCGAGCGUGACGGCGCGAGCAGGUGCGAAAGCAGGUCAUAGUGAUCCGGUGGUUCUGAAUGGAAGGGCCAUCGCUCAACGGAUAAAAGGUACUCCGGGGAUAACAGGCUGAUACCGCCCAAGAGUUCAUAUCGACGGCGGUGUUUGGCACCUCGAUGUCGGCUCAUCACAUCCUGGGGCUGAAGUAGGUCCCAAGGGUAUGGCUGUUCGCCAUUUAAAGUGGUACGCGAGCUGGGUUUAGAACGUCGUGAGACAGUUCGGUCCCUAUCUGCCGUGGGCGCUGGAGAACUGAGGGGGGCUGCUCCUAGUACGAGAGGACCGGAGUGGACGCAUCACUGGUGUUCGGGUUGUCAUGCCAAUGGCACUGCCCGGUAGCUAAAUGCGGAAGAGAUAAGUGCUGAAAGCAUCUAAGCACGAAACUUGCCCCGAGAUGAGUUCUCCCUGAGACUACAAGUCUCCUGAAGGAACGUUGAAGACGACGACGUUGAUAGGCCGGGUGUGUAAGCGCAGCGAUGCGUUGAGCUAACCGGUACUAAUGAACCGUGAGGCUUAACCUUACAACGCCGAAG
RNAcentral lists this ribosomal RNA (2843 nucleotides) under Salmonella enterica subsp. arizonae. Its description in RNAcentral is "partial 23S ribosomal RNA". It matches the Rfam family "Bacterial large subunit ribosomal RNA". Lineage: Bacteria; Pseudomonadati; Pseudomonadota; Gammaproteobacteria; Enterobacterales; Enterobacteriaceae. The record is from RNAcentral.